Molecule: ribosomal RNA, 732 nt
Filed under: Lactobacillus leichmannii
Lineage: Bacteria; Bacillati; Bacillota; Bacilli; Lactobacillales; Lactobacillaceae
Description: bacterial SSU rRNA
Rfam family: Bacterial small subunit ribosomal RNA
Source: RNAcentral
GCUUGCAUCAUGAUUUACAUUUGAGUGAGUGGCGAACUGGUGAGUAACACGUGGGAAACCUGCCCAGAAGCGGGGGAUAACACCUGGAAACAGAUGCUAAUACCGCAUAACAACUUGGACCGCAUGGUCCGAGUUUGAAAGAUGGCUUCGGCUAUCACUUUUGGAUGGUCCCGCGGCGUAUUAGCUAGAUGGUGGGGUAACGGCUCACCAUGGCAAUGAUACGUAGCCGACCUGAGAGGGUAAUCGGCCACAUUGGGACUGAGACACGGCCCAAACUCCUACGGGAGGCAGCAGUAGGGAAUCUUCCACAAUGGACGAAAGUCUGAUGGAGCAACGCCGCGUGAGUGAAGAAGGGUUUCGGCUCGUAAAACUCUGUUGUUAAAGAAGAACAUAUCUGAGAGUAACUGUUCAGGUAUUGACGGUAUUUAACCAGAAAGCCACGGCUAACUACGUGCCAGCAGCCGCGGUAAUACGUAGGUGGCAAGCGUUGUCCGGAUUUAUUGGGCGUAAAGCGAGCGCAGGCGGUUUUUUAAGUCUGAUGUGAAAGCCUUCGGCUCAACCGAAGAAGUGCAUCGGAAACUGGGAAACUUGAGUGCAGAAGAGGACAGUGGAACUCCAUGUGUAGCGGUGAAAUGCGUAGAUAUAUGGAAGAACACCAGUGGCGAAGGCGGCUGUCUGGUCUGUAACUGACGCUGAGGCUCGAAAGUAUGGGUAGCAAACCGGGAUUAGAUA